ACGCUCGACACCUACGGGAGGCAGCAGUGAGGGAUAUUGGUCAAUGGGGGAAACCCUGAACCAGCAACGCCGCGUGAGGGAUGACGGUCUUCGGAUUGUAAACCUCUAGUCCUCUGUGAAGAUAAUGACGGUAGCAGAGGAGGAAGCUCCGGCUAACUACGUGCCAGUAGCCGCGGUAAUCUGAGCGGGCUGGCAAGGC
This 199-nucleotide ribosomal RNA is filed under the name uncultured bacterium. RNAcentral describes it as "partial 16S ribosomal RNA". It matches the Rfam family "Bacterial small subunit ribosomal RNA", at positions 328 to 539 of the family's 1533-position model. The record is from RNAcentral.